ACCCAGCUGACGAGUCUCAAAUAGGACGAAACGUGCGUCAUGGAU
RNAcentral lists this non-coding RNA (45 nucleotides) under Schistosoma mansoni. Lineage: Eukaryota; Metazoa; Platyhelminthes; Trematoda; Strigeidida; Schistosomatidae. The record is from RNAcentral.